CCCAGACUCCUACGGGAGGCAGCAGUGGGGAAUAUUGGGCAAUGGGCGCAAGCCUGACCCAGCAACGCCGCGUGAAGGAAGAAGGCUUUCGGGUUGUAAACUUCUUUUCUCAGGGACGAAGCAAGUGACGGUACCUGAGGAAUAAGCCCCGGCUAACUACGUGCCAGCAGCCGCGGUAAUACGUAGGGGGCAAGCGUUAUCCGGAUUUACUGGGUGUAAAGGGGGCGCAGACGGCGAUGCAAGCCAGGAGUGAAAGCCCGGGGCCCAACCCCGGGACUGCUCUUGGAACUGCGUGGCUGGAGUGCAGGAGGGGCAGGCGGAAUUCCUGGUGUAGCGGUGAAAUGCGUAGAUAUCAGGAGGAACACCGGUGGCGAAGGCGGCCUGCUGGACUGCAACUGACGUUGAGGCCCGAAAGCGUGGGGAGCAAACAGGAUUAGAUACCCUGGUAU
This 449-nucleotide ribosomal RNA is filed under the name uncultured bacterium. Its description in RNAcentral is "bacterial SSU rRNA". It matches the Rfam family "Bacterial small subunit ribosomal RNA", at positions 330 to 793 of the family's 1533-position model. The record is from RNAcentral.